AGGGGUGUCGCUCAAUAGCAGAGCUCCUGCCUGGCAUGCAUGAGGUCUGGGUUCAGUGCUCAGCACCCUCU
RNAcentral lists this transfer RNA (71 nucleotides) under Cavia porcellus (domestic guinea pig). It matches the Rfam family "tRNA". Rfam says of the family: Transfer RNA (tRNA) molecules are approximately 80 nucleotides in length. The record is from Rfam by way of RNAcentral. Lineage: Eukaryota; Metazoa; Chordata; Mammalia; Rodentia; Caviidae.